UAAAAGGAAGCAUUAAUGCAUUUAGUUUCGACCUAAAAAAUUGAAUUAUAUUCUCUUUUAU
Molecule: transfer RNA, 61 nt
Filed under: Sminthurinus signatus
Lineage: Eukaryota; Metazoa; Arthropoda; Collembola; Symphypleona; Katiannidae
Description: tRNA-Arg
Source: RNAcentral